RNAcentral lists this ribosomal RNA (180 nucleotides) under uncultured Glomeromycotina. Its description in RNAcentral is "partial small subunit ribosomal RNA". Lineage: Eukaryota; Fungi; Glomeromycota. The record is from RNAcentral.
GGAUCAGUACGCUGGUCGUGCCUUGUGUAUGUACUGGUGUCACUGGUUCCUACCUUCUGACGAACCGUCAUGUCAUUAAUUUGGUGUGGCGGGGAAUCAGGACUGUUACUUUGAAAAAAUUAGAGUGUUUAAAGCAGGCGUUUGCCUUGAAUACGUUAGCAUGGAAUAACAAAAUGGGCU